This 978-nucleotide long non-coding RNA is filed under the name Monodelphis domestica (gray short-tailed opossum). Its description in RNAcentral is "lncRNA (ENSMODG00000040223.1)". The record is from RNAcentral. Lineage: Eukaryota; Metazoa; Chordata; Mammalia; Didelphimorphia; Didelphidae.
AAAGAUUAGUCUACUCAGGUGUGAAUUAAGAAUGGUCUGUCCUUUGAAAAAUGUCUACUGUGAUUGGUAGAUGUGAGAACUUAGGGGAGGUGACAUAGGAGAAAAUUCCCUUUAAAUAGGAGCUCAGAUUCAUUCACAUGGACAUUCAGAUUCAAGCAUUGAGCUGGUGGAGUAUUCUGAGAUGAAGCUGGCCUGGUGUCACUAGAAUCCUUGCUUGGACAGAUCUUGUGGUGAGUGAUUAAGGACUGACUGAUCUUUCUCUUAAGGCUUAGGCCUGGGUUGGCCAGGGCUGCCCUGGGCUGGCCUAUCCUUUUCUCAUUAUUUCCCUUUUCUCUCUUUCUCUCUUUCUUUAAUACCUCAUUGUAUUAAUUAAUUAAAAUCUCUAUAAAACCCAGUUGACUUGGGUAUAUUUCAUAAUUGGGAAUAUUUCCCUGGCGACCACCUUAUAUUUGAUUUAAAAACAAAACACUGUCUUGAAACCAUAUUUUCUGUGGUCACAAUUUAAACCAUCCACUCUUUUAUUUACUACAAUUUAAGUCUUCCACUAUUUUAAUUAUUACAGUUUAUGACCUCAACUAUUUUAAUUAUUACACAAUCCAUGAUAUGUUUGCCAAUAGGAAUUAUGUUGAUGUGACAUCAAAAUAACUUUCUUAUGUUUUUAAUUUACACAUAAAAAAUUCUCUGACUUUGUAUUCUUUUACACAUAAUGCAAUUGGCUUUUUGUUAACUCAAAUGGCCUUGACAGUCAAUGUAUAUGUGGUUUGUGAUUCUAAAGGCAAUGAAAAUGAGUAGGGUUCUCAUUUCUCCAAAUGUUUCUUUUCCUUCUUUCCCAAUCCUGAGCCUGAGCUUGGUUUCAGAUAGGAAUUAUAUCAAGGAGAAGGCAAGAAAGCAAGUAGAGAGAAAGAGUUGUGAGCAGGACCUGAGGAAAAUGCAUGAAAACAGGCAGAAGUAAAAUAAAGAGCUCCUUCUUCCACCCCA